GUUUAGGAUUUGAUUAGUUUCCUAUGGUGUACGACUUUGCAUGCCACAGUAUCGUUAAUUGAUUCCAAAUAGGUUCAGAAUUAGAGUCCGAGUAGGUUUAAUUAUUGGUUGUGUACGUGUGCAUGUAUAUACAUGGUACAAGGCUUGUGUAUCAAGUUGUAACGUGAGUUGUCAGUCCAGCAGGAAAAAUUCCUUCAACAAAAAAAAAAGUUCAGCAGGAAAAAAAUGAGAGAGAAAACUCAACGUGCUUUCGGUCGUCCUACGUACAGAUUCUGUGAUGAUGCGUGCGUGUGAUUUUUCAUGAGACCGAGUUUGGACAAACCCAACAGUUGCAGUGUAUUUAUACGGUGCAAACGUUAACUGAAGAUUACUGAAUUGUACAUCGUGGUGUGCAACCACCUGAACAUACCACCACUCGCUGCUGAAACUCGUGCGG
RNAcentral lists this long non-coding RNA (436 nucleotides) under Brachypodium distachyon (stiff brome). RNAcentral's name for it is "long non-coding RNA (BDIS_LNC005272)". The record is from RNAcentral. Lineage: Eukaryota; Viridiplantae; Streptophyta; Magnoliopsida; Poales; Poaceae.